CAAACAGACUCUCCUGCCCCAGGAGCCCAGGGGCUUGUGGUCUGGCAGAAUGCAGGGAGGACAGGAAGCUGAAGGAUGAGAGCAGCAAAUCCUGCCGCUUGAUGCUUGUCCGGGAGGCAGAGGUGAACUUGAACCCACAGUGUGUGCUGAGCCCGGCUGGAGGAAACUCUUAUUAGAAGAGGCUGUUCUCAGACUUGAUGAACCUAAAAGAGAACCUGUGCAGUGCAGACCGCAGGGCCCCAGUGAUGCAGCCAUGACCUUUAGAAUGCAGACGAGCUCCAUCCCCUUGUGCGAUUUCUCCUCGGGUGGUGCUGACAGCUGGGCUGCCCAGAGAUCUCCGCUCCUGAGCAGCAAGUCAGUGACAGUGACAGGCAGAUCCUGAAACUAUCGAUAAACGCUCAUUGGGUGCUGGAGCAUGGUAAAUUGCUAUCAACCGCAGUGGAUUUCUCUCUCUCUCGACAGUAUCAUUUUUCUUGACAGCAGCAUGUUCAGGAAGUGGUUUGUUUUGCUGGAUUUUUUUUUUGUGGGCAGUAACUUUUUCUUCUUUUUAUGCAUCAGUUGCUUUUAGAGAUCCCUCUCUAAAGAAGAGAAGGAAGACAACGUGGAUUAGCUCCUGAAGCACCCUCUGCCCUGGCCUCCCAAGGAGGGUUGUUGCUGGGUUCACAUUGGAGCUUUAUCAGGAUCUGCAUCCUUCCUCAGCAGGCUGGCCCAGUGCUCUGCUCCCUGCUCAGCAGCUUAGUGCACUCAGAUCUCUUUGAACUGUCUUUAAUGCUGAAGUGACCCAUCACUGCUUGGUCUCUUCCUACUCCAUGGCUUAGGGAUGGCUACUUGCACUACUGCAUUCAAAUAUCCUUCUUCGACAGGGUAACAAGACUUGUGGGUGGCGGGAGCAGUAGGGGUGAUAUAUCUCAGCUUCUGAUACUGUCUCACGUGACCUUUUCAUAAGCAAACUAGGGAAAUAUACUGCACAACUGCUUGCAAAACCAUACUCAGAAAGAGUAGCUAUCAGUG
This is a long non-coding RNA of Mauremys mutica (yellowpond turtle), 1011 nucleotides long. RefSeq lists it as uncharacterized. The transcript has 3 exons. The record is from RefSeq and is a predicted model, not a curated record. Lineage: Eukaryota; Metazoa; Chordata; Testudines; Geoemydidae.